This 83-nucleotide transfer RNA is filed under the name Trichoderma atroviride IMI 206040. It matches the Rfam family "tRNA". From Rfam's summary of the family: Transfer RNA (tRNA) molecules are approximately 80 nucleotides in length. Lineage: Eukaryota; Fungi; Ascomycota; Sordariomycetes; Hypocreales; Hypocreaceae. The record is from Rfam by way of RNAcentral.
GGCCGCGUGGCCUAAUGGCUAAGGCGCUAGAUUUCGGUCUUUCUCAUCUCUAGAGAUUCCAGGUUCGACUCCUGGCGUGGUCG